Molecule: ribosomal RNA, 253 nt
Filed under: uncultured bacterium
Lineage: Bacteria
Description: partial 16S ribosomal RNA
Rfam family: Bacterial small subunit ribosomal RNA
Source: RNAcentral
UACAGAGGGUGCGAGCGUUAAUCGGAAUUACUGGGCGUAAAGCGUGCGUAGACGGUCAUGUAAGUCGGGUGUGAAAUCCCCGGGCUCAACCUGGGAAUUGCAUUCGAGACUGCGUGGCUAGGGUGCGGAAGAGGGAAGCGGAAUUUCCGGUGUAGCGGUGAAAUGCGUAGAUAUCGGAAGGAACAUCAGUGGCGAAAGCGGCUUCCUGGUCCAGCACCGACGCUGAGGUGCGAAAGCGUGGGGAGCAAACAGG